AUGAUUAGUGUACGAUUGAAUCGGGGGCGUCACAUGUAUUGUGCGGUGAAUUGCAUUGAAAAUCCUUAUAUUGCCAAUUACAUAAAGAAAAGAAAACAAAUAGAGGAUGAAGAGAAUACUAAUGAAAGGGAAGAGACUUCCCAAUAUCCUCCUAUUAUUUCUUAUGAUGAAUCAGGUAACGAGGAGGAGCUUUCUAUCCAACCAAUCUCAUUAAUAAGGAGCUCCAAAAAGAGGAUUGAACCCACACAUGAUGUGGUGAAGAAGAAGAAAAGAAAAAGGAAGAGACGUAAAAAGGUAUCUCUCCCAAAUAAAGUUGCUCCUAUUAUUGCUGUGCCUCAUGAAAAUGAAGAUGAUACACUUGAUGAUGAUCUGGUUAUGCCUAUUGCUUGUUGUGAUGAUUAUGAUUGGGAAGAUAAUGAUACUUCUUAUGAUCUUGAAAAUCUUUUUGGUACUUUCUUGAAAGAAUAUGAUAAUUGCUAUACUAUCGGUGAUAUCCAUACUAUUAAUGAUGAGAGUGAUUAUGCUUAUGAUAUGAAAAGGCCCAAGCUCGGGGAAGCUAUGUUUGAUGAGGAUGACAUAUUUGAGAAUAUAUUUGCUGCAAUUAAUGUUUGUCCCAAGCUUGGGGAAGCUAUGAUUAAUGAAGGUGAUAUUUUUAGUCUCCCAAGUUUUGAUAUGCAAGUUUAUAAUGAUGAUAGCAUGCCUCCUACUUAUGAUGAUUAUUGUGAUGAUACUUAUGCUAUAAAAAGUAGUGAUUAUAUUUAUAAAACUUGA
RNAcentral lists this ribosomal RNA (771 nucleotides) under Triticum aestivum (bread wheat). RNAcentral's name for it is "partial small subunit ribosomal RNA". The record is from RNAcentral. Lineage: Eukaryota; Viridiplantae; Streptophyta; Magnoliopsida; Poales; Poaceae.